CAGCGAUUUUAAGAACGAAGAGGGAGCUUGGGCAUAUUUUCAGGCGGAGUGGAAGGAUUCCAUGGAGACAGACUAAAUGCAAAAAACAAAGGGAUAAUUAUGAACCAUAAUUAUCACCUGGGUCGGAGUAGAUGAGGUGGGAGUUAGCCUUAAAGGGGAGUGGGGUAAUUUCUCAUCAAAAUCAGAAGGAAUGAAGACAGAUGGGUCAGUGGGCCCACACAUUUGGAGGUUCUCCGAAUACCAUCCAAAAUGUGAUCAAGACACAGGCCUUAUAAUUACGCAGCACAAGCCCAGAACAGAAAUAGCCAUAAAU
RNAcentral lists this long non-coding RNA (313 nucleotides) under Homo sapiens (human). RNAcentral's name for it is "HSALNT0114892". The record is from RNAcentral. Lineage: Eukaryota; Metazoa; Chordata; Mammalia; Primates; Hominidae.